UGGCUAUGGGUGUUACUUUGCAACAGCGCGAAAUCCCACUUUCGCCUGGCGGUUCCCGCUAUGCUUGCAAACGUUAAGUUCCUUGGUCUUGCUUGCAGGGUCACCUUGGCUUCCAAGAUCUCCUAGGUGGCUAAUAUCAAAAGGGAAGCUCGACGAAGCCUGGGAGAUCAUUUGCCGCCUACGGCAAUCAAAAGAUGAUCCAGACAAUCUGGUAGCAAAGGAUGAAUUUGUUCAAACUAAGGAGCAACUUAAACUUGAAGCUGAAAAACUUGCCGCAACAGGUCACGGCGUGUGGACUGCUAUUUUCAAGAAAAAGUCAUACAGAAAGCGCAUGCUCAUCGGGUUUUUGACGCAGUGGGGAGCUGAAUUUGGUGGGCCCUUGAUUAUUAAUAACUAUGCAGUACUCCUGUACCAAAACCUAGGCAUGACUGGCCAUAUGCCGCUGCUCCUAAGCGCACUUUGGCUAACCACGGC
RNAcentral lists this small RNA (474 nucleotides) under Histoplasma capsulatum. RNAcentral describes it as "hypothetical RNA". RNAcentral also lists the same sequence under 1 other name. The record is from RNAcentral. Lineage: Eukaryota; Fungi; Ascomycota; Eurotiomycetes; Onygenales; Ajellomycetaceae.